RNAcentral lists this long non-coding RNA (249 nucleotides) under Mytilus galloprovincialis (Mediterranean mussel). The record is from RNAcentral. Lineage: Eukaryota; Metazoa; Mollusca; Bivalvia; Mytilida; Mytilidae.
CUUUAAUAGCGUUUUAAUGUUUUUGAAACAGAUGGGAUGUAGUUUUUAUACAAAUGUUAAAACUACAUGAACGGUGAUCAUUUAUUAUAAAGAUAAGAAACAUUGUUCGAAUAAGACUCAUUAAAAUACCAAUCAUUUGAAAAUUAUUUUGUCCUGCGAAAAAUAUACUUCUAGUUAAACAAUGAAAUAUAACAUUUUCUUCUUUGUGAUUGUGAUUAUUUUCGAGAAUGUCAUUCAUGGUGCAGAGGG